GAAAUGCGAUAAGUAAUGUGAAUUGCAGAAUUCAGUGAAUCAUCGAAUCUUUGAACGCACCUUGCGCUCCCUGGUAUUCCUUGGUGCAUGCCUGUUUGAGUAUCAUGAAAUCUUCAAAGUAAAUCUUUUGUUAACUCAAUUGGUUUCUACUUUGGUAUUGGAGGUCUUUGCAGCUUCACACCUGCUCCUCUUUGUUCAUUAGCUGGAUCUCAGUGUUAUGCUUGGUUCCACUCGGCGUGAUAAGUUAUCUAUCGCUGAGGACACUGUAAAAGGUGGCCAAGGUAAAUGCAGAUGAACCGCUUCUAAUAGUCCAUUGACUUGGACAAUACUUUUAUGAUCUGAUCUCAAAUCAGGUAGGACUACCCGCUGAACUUAAGC
RNAcentral lists this unclassified non-coding RNA (378 nucleotides) under plant metagenome. Its description in RNAcentral is "partial contains 5.8S ribosomal RNA, internal transcribed spacer 2, and large subunit ribosomal RNA". The stretch from base 1 to 105 matches the Rfam family "5.8S ribosomal RNA", at positions 50 to 154 of the family's 154-position model. The record is from RNAcentral.